Molecule: RNA transcript, 6138 nt
Organism: Mirounga angustirostris (Northern elephant seal)
Lineage: Eukaryota; Metazoa; Chordata; Mammalia; Carnivora; Phocidae
Gene: ITGA2B
Gene name: integrin subunit alpha 2b
Exons: 30
Source: RefSeq, a predicted model, not a curated record
UGCUUGUGUUCCCUCUCUCUGUCAAAUAAAUUUUUAAAAUCUUAAAAAAAAAAAAAAAAAAGGAUAGCUGGGCAGGAUAAGAUGGUGGUUAAGUUUGGUUAGAAAAUAUAGAGUAAAAGGAGGAUGUGGCGGUCUUCCUUUACCCUGAGCAGAUCUCUUGAAUUUCCUUCCUGAGAACCUGCUUUUUUGGGGAAGACCUGCAGUGCCAGUAAGACUUGGCAUUCCUCUUCUUGUCAUCCAGAGAAAAUUACCUUGCCUUUCUGCUCAAAACUAUUCUCAUUCCACUGUGACUCCAUGUUUGCAUCUUCCAUCCUCAGUGCAUGCUCCCAUUCAGUCCGUCUGUCAGCAAUGCCUACUAGGUGUUGGGCUUUUGGCUAGGCCCUGGGGCCACAGAAAGGAGACUUGCUCUCAAGGGAGUCAUGGACACAAUCAUGUCCAUGAAUGGACCAUGACUAAACAGUGUGAUCACUGCUGUGCCCACAUGUGUCAACUCCAGAGUGCCAGCCUGAGGAAUCGAGGGAGGCUUCCCCUAGGCAAUGACCCCACUAGAAUCAAGUCUUGAUUGGACAAGAGCUCUGUCACCCAAGAAAGAGUGAGGGUCUGCCUUCAACUGAACUCCUGGUAUAUAGUCCCAGAGCCUGUGAACCAGAAUACCCUGGACUCCACUGUAUCCCCACUUCCUUUCCCCUUCACCACCCCUUCACCAGCACCAGCUGCAUUGCUGUGACCACACUAAGACUUGGCCUGAGAUGGAGGGAGAGUGAAGCAGCUUGCUACACCAAUAUGGCUGACCAAGACCCUGGAAGGAGGAAGUGGGUAAGUGCCUUAUCCAAAAGGAUAUAGCAGCCUCAAGUCUUAUCAGGGGGACAGCAGCUUCCUUCCUCCUUCCUCCACCUCUGACCAAGUCACAGUGGGCCACAGCAAUGCAGGCAGCUGUGAGGUGGGGACGAAGAGCUGUAAAACGGCUAGAGUGGAGGUGUACGGACCAGUUCAUGGUUAUGCUACCCCAAGCAGAAAGGAACGGUGACUUAGACUAGCAUGGUGGGAGUGGAAAUGUGAAGAUUCAGGAGACAUAGUUGAGAGGCAGAACCAACAGGACUUGGUGAUAAACUACUCUCAGGGAAAGGGAGGAGUCAUGGCUUUCAGUCAUUAGCAUCCACCCCCGGGGUGGCCUCACCCCCUUUCUGGCAAUCCAAGAAACCAUAUGGCUCUUUCCUCUGCCUGCUGCUCAGCAAGUGGGUUCCAGUUUGAUAAGAAAAGCCUUCCUGUGGUGGAGACUGAAAGGAAGAGGAAGGAGCUCACCCAUUCCUGCCUAGGAGGUUGUGGGAGAAGGAAGAUGGCCAGAGCUGUGUGUCCACUUCAUGCCCUCUGGCUUCUGGAGUGGGUGCAGCUGCUCUUGGGACCUGAUGCCGUCCCUCCAGCCUGGGCCUUGAACCUGGACCCAGUGCAACUCACCUUGUACACAGGCCCCAAUGGCAGCCACUUUGGGUUUUCACUGGACUUCUACAAGGACAACCAUGGGAGAGUGGCCAUCGUGGCGGGCGCCCCGCGAACCCUGGGCCCCAGCCAGGAGGAGACAGGCGGCGUGUUCCUGUGCCCCUGGAGGGCCGAGGGCAGCCAGUGCACCUUGCUGCCCUUCCACCUCAAUGAUGAGACCCGACACGUAGGCUCCCACACCUUCCAAACCUUCAAGGCCCGGCAAGGACUGGGGGCGUCGGUCGUCAGCUGGAACGACAACAUUGUGGCCUGCGCCCCCUGGCAGCACUGGAACGCCCUAGAAAAGACCGAAGAGGCUGAGAAGACGCCCGUAGGCGGCUGCUUCGUGGCUCAGCUCCAGAACGGCCACCGCGCAGAGUACUCGCCCUGUCGGGCUAACACCAUGAGCCAGGUUUACGUGAAAAACGGCUUUAGAGACGACCGGCGCUACUGCGAAGCGGGCUUCAGCUCCGUGGUUACUCAGGCUGGAGAGCUGGUGCUUGGGGCCCCUGGCGGCUAUUUUUUCUUAGGUCUCCUGGCGCGGGCUCCCAUUACCAGUAUCGUCUCGAGUUACCGCCCAGGCACCCUCUUGUGGCACGUGCCCAACCAGAGCUUCACCUUCGACUACAGCAAGCCAGAGUACUACGACGGCUACCGGGGGUACUCGGUGGCCGUGGGAGAGUUCGACGGGGAUCUCAGUACUACAGAGUAUGUCCUCGGUGCCCCGACCUGGAGCUGGACCCUGGGAGCGGUGAGUGCCCUGUCCCGCCACCGGGCAUCCCCAAGCCCCCUAAACCUCCUUCCCUUUCUCACCCGAGACGGGAGGCUGACCUGGGGAGCAAGAAUGACGCGCUCCUGUGCGUUCUCCGUGCAGGUGGAAAUUUUGAACUCGUACCACCAGACGCUGCACAAGCUGCAUGGAGAGCAGAUGGCUUCGUAUUUUGGACACUCGGUGACCGUCACUGAUGUCAACGGAGAUGGGAGGCACGACCUGCUGGUGGGCGCCCCUCUGUACAUGGAGAGCCGCGCUGACCGCAAACUGGCCGAGGUGGGGCGCGUGUACUUGUUCCUGCAGCCUCGAGGUCACCACGUGCUGGGCGCCCCCAGCCUCCUGCUGACCGGCACUCAGCUCUACGGGCGAUUCGGCUCGGCCAUCGCACCCCUGGGUGACCUCGACCGGGAUGGCUACAACGAUGUUGCAGUGGCCGCCCCAUACGGAGGUCCUAGUGGUCGGGGCCAAGUGCUGGUGUUCCUGGGGCAGAGCGAGGGGCUGAGCUCCCGCCCCUCCCAGGUCCUGGACAGCCCCUUCCCAGCAGGCUCUGGCUUCGGCUUCUCCCUGCGAGGUGCCGCAGACAUCGAUGACAAUGGAUACCCAGACCUCCUGGUGGGAGCUUAUGGGGCCAAUAAGGUGGCUGUGUACAGAGCUCAGCCAGUGGUGAUGGCCAAUGUCCAGCUGCUGGUACAAGAUUCACUGAAUCCUGCUGUGAAGAAUUGUGUCCUGCCCCAGACCCAGGCGCGCGUGAGCUGCUUUAACAUACAGAUGUGUGUAGGAGCCACUGGGCACAACAUUCCUCAGCAGCUGCCCCUAAACGCCGAGCUGCAGCUGGACCGGCAGAAGCCCCGCCAGGGCCGGCGGGUGCUACUGCUGAAUUCGCAACUGGCGGGCACCACGCUGCAUCUGGACCUGGGCGGGAGGCACAGCCCCAUCUGCCACACCACCGUGGCCUUCCUUCGAGAUGAGGCCGACUUCCGGGACAAGCUGAGCCCCAUUGUGCUCAGCUUCAAUGUGUCCUUGCAACCCAGGAAGGAUGGAGUAGCCCCUGCUGUCGUGCUUCAUGGAGACACCCAUGUCCAGGAGCAGACCCGAAUCAUCCUGGACUGUGGGGAAGAUGACCUGUGUGUGCCCCAGCUCCAGCUCACCGCCAACGUGAUGGGCUCCCCCCUCCUCAUUGGAGCCGAUAAUGUGCUGGAGCUGCAGAUGGAUGCAGCCAAUGAGGGCGAGGGGGCCUACGAAGCGGAGCUGGCCGUGCACCUGCCCCUAGGCGCCCACUACAUGCGGGCCGUCAGCAACAUCGAGGGCUUUGAGAGACUCAUCUGUAACCAGAAGAAGGAGAAUGAGACCAAGAUGGUGCUGUGUGAGCUGGGCAACCCCAUGAAGAGGAAUGCCCGGAUAGGAAUCACAAUGUUGGUGAGUGUGGAGAACCUGGAAGAGGCUGGGGAACGUGUGUCCUUCUGGCUACAGAUCAGAAGCAAGAACAGCCAGAAUCCGAACAGCGAGGCUGUGCUGCUGGAUGUCCCAGUCCGGGCAGAGGCCCACGUGGAGCUGCGAGGGAACUCCUUUCCAGCCUCCCUGGUGGUGGUGGCCAAAGAAGACAACAGGGAGAACAGCUCCGACAUCUGGGGCCCCAAAGUGGAGCACACCUAUGAGCUCCACAACAAUGGCCCUGGCACUGUAAGUGGCCUCCGCCUCAGCCUCUGCCUCCCUGGCCAGUCCCAGCCUUCUGACCUGCUCUACAUCCUGGACAUACAGCCCCAGGGGGGGCUUCAGUGCUCCCCCCAGCCCACUCCUAACCCCUACAAGCUGAACUGGAGGCUGCCGACCCCCAGCCCCUCCCCCACCUCCCCCGGGCAUCACAAGCGGGAGCGCAGACAGGCGUCCCUGCCAGGGUCCAACCAGCCGGCCAGGCUUCAGGAUCCAGUUCUCCUGAGCUGCGCCUCGGGGCCGCACACGGUGGUGCAGUGUGAGCUGCAGGAGAUGGUGCGAGGCGAGCGGGCCAUGGUCAGGGUGCUGGCCUUCCUGCAGCAGCCUGGCCUCCAGCAGAGGCCACUGGAUCAGUUCGUGCUGCAGUCGCAAGCUUGGUUCAACGUCUCCUCCCUUCCCUACGCUGUGCCCGCCCUCAGCCUGCCUAGUGGGGAAACUCUGGUGAGUAUGGAGCCUGCAGGACCCACUGUCUUCCCAAGCGUCGGCGCCCCACACGGUGGGGGUGGGGCAUCCCCGCGUCUGAGGGGUGGCACAGGUGCAGACGCACCUGCUUCGAGCCUUGGAGGAAAGGGACAUUCCCAUCUGGUGGGUGCUGGUAGGUGCGCUCGGCGGCCUGGUGUUGCUCACGCUCCUGGUCCUGGCCAUGUGGAAGGUCGGCUUCUUCAAGCGCAACCGGCCGCCACUAGAAGAAGAUGAGGAGGAGUGAGGGGGCAGCCCGCGCCCUGUCCUAGGAGGAAGGCUGGGGUCUGUGCCUGCUCUGCCCAAUCUUCAACGUGUGCCCCCCCCCACUCUGCUCACCCACGAGUUGGUGAACACCAUGGAGGCCUCCUGGUGUUCUCCCCCUCCGAGGGAUAAGCCUCAAGUGGACCUGAGAUUCGGGAAUAUAACUUGCUCUCCCCGCUCCCAUUAAAAAAAAAAGCCUUUAAAGCCAUGUUCAGGUGAGGAGGGGGCCGGGGGAAGCUGACUAAGCCCUCAGCCUGAGGAAAGCAGCGUCACACCAGGGAGAGGAGAGCGGGCUUUGCUGUCCAGCUACCCUUCCUCCCCAUCAAGGAGAAGGCUCUCCAGUUAGGAAAGAGGGCUCCAGGCAGGGAACUCACAGGAGCGCUAGGAGCAGAAGAGAACUCUCCCGCCUCCGCCCGCCAGGACUGGAGUCCCAGGAUAGACGGGGGGUCCACCUGGAGUCCCGAGAAAUGUGUUGAUUCAUGGGUUCAGUGAAUAUUGAUUGAGCACCUCCCAUGUGCCCGGUACUCUCCCAGUGCUCAGAUGGAGCAGUGAAGAAAGCAAAGUGCCGGCCCCUUGUGAGACUUACAUUCGACCAGGGGUAAAGAGUAAAUGAGCGGGGCGCCUGGGUGGCUCAGUUGGUUGGGCAACUGCCUUUGGCUCGGGUCAUGAUCCUGGAGUCCCGGGAUCGAGUCCCACAUCGGGCUCCCUGCUUAGCAGGGAGUCUGCUGCUCCCUCUGACCCUUCCCCCUCUUGUGCUCUCUCUCUCUCUCUCUCAUUCUGUCUCUCAAAUGAAUAAAUAAAAUCUUAAAAAAAAAAAGGGUAAAUGAGCACAUACAUGUCUGGUCAGUGGUGGUCAGUGCUGGGAGUAAAAAUCAAGGUAAGGAGAUUCUGGUAGAAUUACGUGGGAGAGGACUGACAUUUUAGGUAGAGUGGUCAGGGAAGGCCUCUGAUGAGGUGAGCAGAGAGAGGGAUGAAUGAGCCAGCUAGCUGCACAAGAAUAAUACGAUCUGGACAGAAAGAGCAGUCCGUGAAAAGGCCCUGGGGUGGGAGCAGGCUUGAUGUGUUUAAAUAAAAGCCAGGAGGCACACCUGGGUGGCUGAGUCAUUGGGCGUCUGCCUUCGGCUCGGGUCAUGAUCCCGGAGUCCUGGGAUCAAGCCCCGCAUCGGGCUCCCUGCCAGGCGGGAAGCCUCCUUCUCCCUCUCCUACUCCCCCUGCUUGUGUUCCCUCUCUUGCUGUGUCUCUCCCUCUCUCUCUGUUAAAUAAAUAAAAAAUCUUUAAGGGGCGCCUGGGUGGCUCAGUCGUUAAGCGUCUGCCUUCGGCUCGGGUCAUGAUCCCGGGGUCCUGGGUUCGAGCCCCACAUCGGGCUCCUUGCUCAGCGGGAAGCCUGCUUCUCCCUCUCCCACUCCCCCUGCUUGUGUUCCCUCUCUCGCUGUGUCUCUCUGUCAAAUAAAUGAAUA